Molecule: ribosomal RNA, 468 nt
Filed under: uncultured bacterium
Lineage: Bacteria
Description: partial 16S ribosomal RNA
Rfam family: Bacterial small subunit ribosomal RNA
Source: RNAcentral
GACGAACGCUGGCGGCGUGCUUAACACAUGCAAGUCGAACGGAAAGGCCCUGCUUUUGUGGGGUGCUCGAGUGGCGAACGGGUGAGUAACACGUGAGUAACCUGCCCUUGACGUUGGGAUAACUUCAGGAAACUGGGGAUAAUACCGGAUAGGAGCUCCUGCUGCAUGGUGGGGGCUGGAAAGUUUCGGCGGUUGGGGAUGGACUCGCGGCUUAUCAGCUUGUUGGUGGGGUAGUUGCUUACCAAGGCUUUGACGGGUAGCCGGCCUGGGCGGGUGACCGGCCCCAUUGGGACUGCGAUACGGCCCAGACUCCUACGGGAGGCAGCGGUGGGGAAUAUUGCACAAUAGGCGGAAGCCUGAUGCAGCAACGCCGCGUUCGGGAUGACGUCCUGCGGGUUGUAAACCGCUUUCGCCUGUGACGAGGCGUUAGUGACGGUAAUGGGUAAAGAAGCACCGGCUAACUACGUG